RNAcentral lists this small nuclear RNA (136 nucleotides) under Cryptococcus depauperatus CBS 7841. RNAcentral describes it as "U4 spliceosomal RNA". It matches the Rfam family "U4 spliceosomal RNA". Rfam says of the family: U4 small nuclear RNA (U4 snRNA) is a component of the major U2-dependent spliceosome. The structure of U4 snRNA from yeast and human has been reported. U4 snRNA presents a k-turn RNA motif in the 5p-SL related to recognition of Snu13 protein. Lineage: Eukaryota; Fungi; Basidiomycota; Tremellomycetes; Tremellales; Cryptococcaceae. The record is from Rfam by way of RNAcentral.
GUCCUUGUGCUAGGGUUAGAGCUUCUGACAGUGAGGAGAAAUCCGAGUCGAAGCAAUUGCUGAUUGCAAAAAAUAUCCUACACGUAAUGAUCAUCGCAAGAUGUUCAUUCAAUUUCUGGCAAUUGUACUACUGUAC